Molecule: ribosomal RNA, 229 nt
Filed under: uncultured bacterium
Lineage: Bacteria
Description: partial 16S ribosomal RNA
Rfam family: Bacterial small subunit ribosomal RNA
Source: RNAcentral
UCCGCAGGCGGGCAAUUAAGUCAGGGGUGAAAUGGUGCGGCUCAACCGUAGCACUGCCCUUGAUACUGGUUGUCUUGAGUCAUAGUGAAGUGGCCGGAAUAUGUAGUGUAGCGGUGAAAUGCAUAGAUAUUACAUAGAACACCGAUUGCGAAGGCAGGUCACUAACUAUGUACUGACGCUGAUGGACGAAAGCGUGGGGAGCAAACAGGAUUAGAUACCCUGGUAGUCC